Molecule: ribosomal RNA, 658 nt
Filed under: Bremia lactucae (lettuce downy mildew)
Lineage: Eukaryota; Oomycota; Peronosporomycetes; Peronosporales; Peronosporaceae
Description: LSU rRNA
Rfam family: Eukaryotic large subunit ribosomal RNA
Source: RNAcentral
AUGAGCUCAAGCUUAAAAUCUCCGUGCAAAUUUUGCAUGGCGAAUUGUAGUCUAUAGAGGCGUGAUUAGCAUAGGCACUUGGGGCAAGUUCCUUGGAAGAGGACAGCAUCGAGGGUGAUACUCCCGUUUAUCUCCGAGUUGCUUAUGCGUACAAUCCGUUUUCUUUGAGUCGCGUUGUUUGAGAAUGCAGCGCAAAGUAGGUGGUAAAUUCCAUCUAAAGCUAAAUAUUGGUGCGAGACCGAUAGCAAACAAGUACCGUGAGGGAAAGAUGAAAAGAACUUUGAAAAGAGAGUUAAAGAGUACCUGAAACUGCUGAAAGGGAACCAAAUCGUUUCCAGUGUCUAUAAUCCGUGGUAUAUUUCAUUGGCGAAUGUGUGCGUGCGUGUACUAUGGCAGCGGCUUUUUGCUGCGCCUUGUGUAUGUGUGCACUUUCUCGCUGAUGCCCUGUACCGUGGUGAGACGUCAAUGUCGGUUCGUAAAUUGCGGGAAAUGACUGCCGAGGAGGUAGGGCGAACGCUUGCGUUUGUCUGUUAUAUCUUGGCGGACGUAGUAGUCGCGGUUGGGACUGAGGUGCCUACAAUGUGCUUAUGAGUAGAAUUGAUUCUCUGUGUGCGCCGUGUGCGGAUAGCUUGCUAUGCGUGUGUGGCUGCGUGUGGAU